GUGUUGGCCCUGUGAGGCAUGGUUGGUAUUUCCUGUGUACAGGUUUUGGGAUAGUAAGAAAUACAGAGGAACCUCUGCCCAAUUUUUUCUAGAAAUACGGAGAGGAAAAUGAGAUAUAAAUUCUUAACGUGUCUUGAAGAUCGAUACCGUAGGGUAAAUCUAUUAUGUUGGAUUAAAGUUUAAGAGAUACCCUCCAUGUCAUUUGUAAGAAGCAUUAUCCCUAUUUGGAAAAAUUUUAUCUCGAGAAAUCAUAUAUGAGUAGCAAAUUCUCAAUUUAUUUAAACGGACCGGAAAUAUGUUCCAACCCCAUUUUGCUUUAGAACAGCCUAGGUUGAGGGGCAAAAAUAUGUGGAAGGGCAAAGAUGCCCAACGGUUAAGUUUCCUCUAAUUGGAAGAAUACAAAGUGUAUGACAGGCAGUUGAGGAUUGAGUGGUCCGCUUACGACUCAAAUAUAUAUAUAUACAAAUAUGGAGGUAAUUAUGUGAAUUAAGUACUAACAGAUUCCGCGAAGUUCGUCGGAUUCUAGUUUUCUUUUGCUGGUAGUCGGAAGAUGCCUCACAGUAACAUUAUAUCAGUUUUCAUCGACUGAUUGGAGAUGGGAUCUGUGGAAUAAAAACUUAAACUCGUGAGCUGUCUAAAAUUACAUAUAUACACACAUGGAGAGUUAGUGGACAGACAAAUAACAAGAAAAAGGGAUGACCUUGAGUACAGGCGUAAAUCUUGGCUACAAAAGAAGAAGAAUGGAUUGCAUAGUUUGGAUAAGUUCAGUUUUACCGGGCAAGCAAUACUGAAAGUAAGUAAAGUAAAUACUGAUAAAUACGGGAAAAAAACAUUGAUAUCUACCUCGGGGAGAACUCUACCUCAACAUUCGAGGACGAAUGUUUUUAAAGGGGGGGAGAAUGUUACACCCCGUACUUCGAAGAAACACUGUUAAAUUUGAAUGUAAGAAUGUCGAGUUACGACUAGUUAAAACAACUUUGGAGUAUGAGGAAUGAGACAUUAUUAAGUAUAUUGUUUAAAUAAUGGAUGAUUAUGAUCUUGUAAGUCGUCAUCGGGAAAGAGUAUUUUAAAACACAAGAAUAUGGUCAUUAUCAUGUAUAAUAAGUGAUAAAUAUCAUGUAUGGAGGGUUUCGGAAUAUUUCGAGAUCGAGCAAGUUGAAGAAAAUAAGUUCGACGAAAAUUUGAGAAAUGCUGGACAAAUUUUUAGUCAACUUUGGAGGGGUAUAUCUCUAUGCAUAUUUGGAGUUUUAAGGCGUUUCAAAAGCCUAAAAUGAAGUUCGUCAAGUCUAGUUUAUGAUUCAACAAACCACUCAUCGAUAGGACGUCGGAGUAGAGAAUUAUAGACGCUACAAACUGAACUGUCGCGCAGAAACAGCACUGCUACAGUACGCUACAGCACUGCUACAGUACUGUAGCUACAGUGACGCCGUUUCAGCCCUUAUAAAAAGGGGCAAAACCCCAUUUUUAUCAUCUAAAAACUUCUCAAAUUUUCCAGAAAAUUCAGCAACAAAAAGGGGCCUAAAUCUCACAUAAAAGUGAGGAUUGUGAGUGAAAUUUCAAGCUACGAAGUACUAAUCGAAGUCCGGGCAACGCAUAAUCACGAAUAUAAUUUUGUUUGGAGUUAGAGGAGCAUGGGAACAAUAAGAUGUUGAAGGAUUUGCUACUUUCAUAAAAACAAGGUUUUGGACGAAACGGGAUUUGAGUUUUGGCAAGCGUAAAGGGCAAGAAAGGUACAGACUACAGAUUUGCUGACCCACCUGCCUAGGACACCUAUUCUGCUAUUCUGGAGCGCUCUUUUGUCCAGAGCCUAUACUCUGGUACAGUCUGCUGCUGUUGGAUAUAUGUGCGCUAUUCAUGGGUACGACGGGGCCCUGUCCUGUCUUAUGUUUCUGUUAUGUUCUGUAGAGGUCUGUAGACAUACAUGUGGGUUCUGUAUAUGUUUUGGGUUGCUAUGAUUUGUGAUAGCCUUAUCGGCUUCCAUGUGUUAUAUAUGUUCCUCUAUGACACUAGUAAUGUCGACUGACUUUUAUAUUUAUAUAAUCUGCUAGUCUGCUGGUUUGGAUUA
Long non-coding RNA from Lycium barbarum (goji berry), 2065 nucleotides. RefSeq lists it as uncharacterized. NCBI's taxonomy places the organism in Eukaryota, Viridiplantae, Streptophyta, Magnoliopsida, Solanales, Solanaceae. The transcript has 4 exons. The record is from RefSeq and is a predicted model, not a curated record.